This 909-nucleotide ribosomal RNA is filed under the name Axonolaimus paraspinosus. Its description in RNAcentral is "SSU rRNA". It matches the Rfam family "Eukaryotic small subunit ribosomal RNA", at positions 51 to 967 of the family's 1831-position model. The record is from RNAcentral. Lineage: Eukaryota; Metazoa; Nematoda; Chromadorea; Araeolaimida; Axonolaimidae.
AUGCAUGUCUAAGCACAAGCCAAAACAAGGUGAAGCCGCGAAUUGCUCAUUACAACAGCCAUUGUUUACUGGAUCUUAACUAUCCUACUUGGAUAACUGUGGUAAUUCUAGAGCUAAUACACGCACCAAGCUCUGACCGCAAGGGAUGAGCGCAUUUAUUAGAACAAAAACCAAUCAGACUCUGUCUGUCUUUGGUGGAUCUGAAUAACUCAGCUGAUCGCAUGGUCUCGUACCAGCGACGUAUCUUCCAAGUGUCUGCCUUAUCAACUUUUGAUGGUAGUUUAUGCGACUACCAUGGUUGUAACGGGUAACGGAGAAUAAGGGUUCGACUCCGGAGAGGGAGCCUGAGAAACGGCUACCACAUCCAAGGAAGGCAGCAGGCGCGCAAAUUACCCAAUCUCAGAACGAGGAGGUAGUGACGAAAAAUAACGAGACGGUUCUCUAUGAGGCCCGUUAUCGGAAUGAGUACAAUUCAAACCCUUUAACGAGGAUCUACGAGAGGGCAAGUCUGGUGCCAGCAGCCGCGGUAAUUCCAGCUCUCGAAGUGUAUAUCAUUGUUGUUGCGGUUAAAAAGCUCGUAGUUGGAUCUGCGUCUUUGGAGUCGGUCUUCCCAACGGGUUAGCACUGACAUCCUGGACUAAUUUGGCUGGUUUUGUCUUGGUGCCCUUUACCGGGUGCCUUGGCUGACUAGCAUGUUUACUUUGAAAAAAUUAGAGUGCUCAAAACAGGCGUUUGCCUGAAUACUGGUGCAUGGAAUAAUAGAAUAGGACCUCGGUUCUAUUUUGUUGGUUUUCGGAACAUGAGGUAAUGAUUAAGAGGGACAGACGGGGGCAUUCGUAUUGCAGCGCUAGAGGUGAAAUUCUUGGACCGCUGCAAGACGAACAACUGCGAAGGCAUUGCCAAGAAUGU